Long non-coding RNA from Oryza brachyantha (malo sina), 881 nucleotides. RefSeq lists it as uncharacterized. The record is from RefSeq and is a predicted model, not a curated record. Lineage: Eukaryota; Viridiplantae; Streptophyta; Magnoliopsida; Poales; Poaceae. The transcript has 4 exons.
AAGUCCAAUAUAUUCAGAAUUCGAAUCCGAUGGGGGCCAUGGGGCGUGGGUGCGCGGUGCACGGCGACCUUGCCAUCGCAAGGCCUGCAAGGAGCCUGCUAUCGAUCCUUCGAUCUCUGAGGUGUUCUGCACAAGUGAAUGCAACUAUGGACAAAACUGGAACCUAGCUAAGAUUACACAUGAGACGGAUGACAAAUUGACAACUGCUCCUACAUUGCGUAAGAAGGCUGAAGUUGAUGGACCGUGGACCACUGUUGAUAUUGUUAGUAACAUCAGGCAUGUCGACCACACAUCUGUUGGUCAUGGUGCUGUUGCUGCUAUUGCAUUUCUGCGGGUGUCCAAACUCUAUGUUUGCAGUAUUUCUAUCUAUGUUUGGGAGUGUGAAGGAUGAUGCGUUGAACACCAUGGAGGCAAUGUCCAUCCCAGCUGGAAUAUCAAGUGGGAUUGCUGAGAGGAUACCUGUGGUCUGAUGCUCCGUGGCUGGUGAGGGGAGCGCUACAGAUGCAUCUGGUCUGCUGUUGUUGUCAAUCAUGCUGAGAGGGUUGUGGCACGAAGGAACUAUUGAAGGCAAGUAGCUGCUUCCGGUGAACUGAAUGGUAGAGGAGAUAACAUCGGUCAUUACUGAUGAUGUGUUAUCUGAGAUAUGCAGACUUCUCUGUGUGGUCUGUGAGACAGGAGCAGUGUAGGCUUCAUUUUUGCCGGACAAGGGAGGAGAUACCCAUGAGUGUGAGAGUGCUCUCUGUGCCGUGGAAUUGGUUUUCUUGAAAAUCCUACAGAUUGCCCAGGAAUCCUGCUCAUGAAUGUCAGUUUCUUACAUUUGGUGGAAUGGUUUUCUCGAGUGGCUUCUUCUGUGGCAAUGAAGGGUCAGUGAGCGAUGGCAG